AGAGUUUGAUCAUGGCUCAGAUUGAACGCUGGCGGCAUGCCUUACACAUGCAAGUCGAACGAAAAUGAGAGAUCUUGCUCUCCAAUCUAUAGCGGCACACGGGAGAAUUACACCUAAGCAACCCGCCUAUUGGGCUGUGACUACUCCAGGAAACCGGUACUACUACCUAAUAUCCCCUUAUACCGCAUGGGCUAACGAUAAAAUGAUGCUAUUCCACUUACCGAUGGACCUGCAGCUCAUUAGCUCGUUGGUGAGGUAACGGCUCACCAAUGCAACGAUGCGUAGACGACCUGACAGGGUGACCGGCCACACUGGGACUGACACACCGCCCACACUCCUACGGGAGGG
This 348-nucleotide ribosomal RNA is filed under the name uncultured Burkholderiales bacterium. RNAcentral's name for it is "bacterial SSU rRNA". It matches the Rfam family "Bacterial small subunit ribosomal RNA", at positions 8 to 349 of the family's 1533-position model. Lineage: Bacteria; Pseudomonadati; Pseudomonadota; Betaproteobacteria; Burkholderiales. The record is from RNAcentral.